This 724-nucleotide ribosomal RNA is filed under the name Arthrobacter sp. ZD27. RNAcentral describes it as "bacterial SSU rRNA". It matches the Rfam family "Bacterial small subunit ribosomal RNA", at positions 59 to 785 of the family's 1533-position model. Lineage: Bacteria; Bacillati; Actinomycetota; Actinomycetes; Micrococcales; Micrococcaceae. The record is from RNAcentral.
CAGUCGAACGAUGAACCUCACUUGUGGGGGGAUUAGUGGCGAACGGGUGAGUAACACGUGAGUAACCUGCCCUUGACUCUGGGAUAAGCCUGGGAAACCGGGUCUAAUACUGGAUACGACCUUCCCGCGCAUGCGGUGUUGGUGGAAAGCUUUUGCGGUUUUGGAUGGACUCGCGGCCUAUCAGCUUGUUGGUGGGGUAAUGGCCUACCAAGGCGACGACGGGUAGCCGGCCUGAGAGGGUGACCGGCCACACUGGGACUGAGACACGGCCCAGACUCCUACGGGAGGCAGCAGUGGGGAAUAUUGCACAAUGGGCGCAAGCCUGAUGCAGCGACGCCGCGUGAGGGAUGAAGGCCUUCGGGUUGUAAACCUCUUUCAGUAGGGAAGAAGUCGGCCUUUCGGGGUUGGUGACGGUACCUGCAGAAGAAGCGCCGGCUAACUACGUGCCAGCAGCCGCGGUAAUACGUAGGGCGCAAGCGUUAUCCGGAAUUAUUGGGCGUAAAGAGCUCGUAGGCGGUUUGUCGCGUCUGCCGUGAAAGUCCGGGGCUUAACCCCGGAUCUGCGGUGGGUACGGGCAGACUAGAGUGCAGUAGGGGAGACUGGAAUUCCUGGUGUAGCGGUGAAAUGCGCAGAUAUCAGGAGGAACACCGAUGGCGAAGGCAGGUCUCUGGGCUGUAACUGACGCUGAGGAGCGAAAGCAUGGGGAGCGAACAGGAUUAGAUAC